CACCACAACAAUUAAUAGAUACUCAAUCAUCAAUACAUAUCCAACCACCAAAACAUCGAGCUAGUCGGUACUAAUUUCAAAAAAAAUCCGCAAAAUUUCCUUUAAAAAUAGAUAUCCAGAAAAUUCUAAACCUGUCUACAAAACUUAUUAUCAUUAAUACAUAUCCAAACCACCAAAAAAACUAUCAUUCCAUACCCAAAAUCAUCAUAACCAUGUAUAAUUAGUUAACUUUACAAAAUACGGAACACGCAAAAUACACACAAUCAUCAACACAUAUCUAACCACCAAAACAUCAAGCUAGUCGUUACUAAUUUUAAAAAAAUUCGACAGAGUUUCCUUUAAAAAUACAUAUCCAGACAAAUAUAAACCUGUCUAUAAAAC
RNAcentral lists this long non-coding RNA (381 nucleotides) under Panax ginseng (ginseng). RNAcentral's name for it is "long non-coding RNA (PGIN_LNC018773)". The record is from RNAcentral. Lineage: Eukaryota; Viridiplantae; Streptophyta; Magnoliopsida; Apiales; Araliaceae.